GAUGAAGAACGCAGCGAAAUGCGAUACGUAAUGUGAAUUGCAGAAUUCAGUGAAUCAUCGAAUGUUUGAACGCAUAUUGCGCUCUCUGGUAUUCCGGAGAGCAUGCUUGUUUGAGUAUCAGUAAACACCUCAACUACCAUAUCUUUUUUGAAAUGGGAGUUGGACUUGAGUGAUCCCAACGCUUUUCCUCACCGAAAAGUGGCGGGUUACUUGAAAUGCAGGUGCAGCUGGACUUUUCUCUGAGCUAUAAGCAUAUCUAUUUAGUCUGCCUAAAAAACAGAUUAUUACCUUUGCUGCAGCUAACAUAAAGGAGAUUAGUUCUUGAGCUGACUGAUGCAGGAUUCACAAAGACAGGCUUCGGCCGACUUUGUAAACUCGAUCUCAAAUCAAGUAAGACUACCCGCUGAACUUAAGCAUAUCAAUAAGCGGAGGA
This 433-nucleotide unclassified non-coding RNA is filed under the name soil metagenome. RNAcentral describes it as "partial contains 5.8S ribosomal RNA, internal transcribed spacer 2, and large subunit ribosomal RNA". The stretch from base 1 to 120 matches the Rfam family "5.8S ribosomal RNA", at positions 35 to 154 of the family's 154-position model. The record is from RNAcentral.